AAAUGUUACCAGACCAUCGGGCUGGUUAGCUGUAAAUUUAGACCGUCCGUCAGAAAUCUAGACCGUCUCAGGCGGUCGGAUUGGCCUUAUUCCAUACACUGCUUGAACACUGCCAUAGA
Haliotis rubra (blacklip abalone) is the source of this 119-nucleotide long non-coding RNA. RefSeq lists it as uncharacterized. Lineage: Eukaryota; Metazoa; Mollusca; Gastropoda; Lepetellida; Haliotidae. The transcript is spliced from 3 exons. The record is from RefSeq and is a predicted model, not a curated record.